Long non-coding RNA from Chroicocephalus ridibundus (black-headed gull), 1762 nucleotides. RefSeq lists it as uncharacterized. Lineage: Eukaryota; Metazoa; Chordata; Aves; Charadriiformes; Laridae. The transcript has 3 exons. The record is from RefSeq and is a predicted model, not a curated record.
CGGAGCAGGGAGCUGGGUCAGGAUGCACCAUGCGGAGUCGGGAACGCUGCAGAGGGAGUUCAGCCGGUGGCCGUGGGGAGAUGUGGAGUGGCCAUGGAGUGAGUGGAGGAGGCAAGCACUGCCUGGUCAGUUUGAGACCCCAAGACUAGGCACAUCGGGGUCUCGCUGAGCCAGAUGGAUGGAUAGACAGACAGCCAGACAGCCAGACAGGCAUGCAGCUCAGGAACUUACCGUCGUGACCCAGGACCCCUCCUUGGCUCCAGUCCAAGCUCUUCCUGGUCCUUUUUUUUUCCUUUUUUUCCCCUUCUCCUUUUCUUAUUUCCUCCCCCUCCUCCUCCUCCUCCUCUUCCUCCUCCCUCAGGGCUUUUGCGUGACACAAGAGGAGUCCGGGGGCCACUUUCCUUCGGUCGCUGUCGGAAGGGGCAUCUGCUCAUCACCUCUGUGAUGGGUACCAGCACUCCAGGGAGUUUCCGUCCGAGCCAGGUUGAUGCUUGAAAAUACCCAGCACUGCAAAGCAGGACCCCGAACAUCGGUGCUGCCCCAAAACUCACCUUGGAAAGUCCUGCCCAUGCUGGUGAAGCUAAGGCAGCAGAAAUGGCCCUGCAGGGAUGUCCAAAGCCCCCAGCAUGAGGUCAGAGGCCCAAGCUGUAUUUCCUACCACCUCCCGAAACCUUCUGGAUGGUGUUCUUGAGCCAACGAACUCCACCCCUGGAAACGGCGGGGGACAGAAAGGCUCAGCCUUUACAAGACUCCCGAGAAGCCAAGCCUGCAGCACCCCCCACCCUUCACUCCUGCUUUCCUUUGCUCCGAAGCCUGGGAUGGUACACCCUCAGCUGGUCCCAUGCCAAGGGGCACCCCUGGCUCUGAGCACCACCAGCACUGCGGGGCGUAGCGGUGGCUGUGGGUAGGGAUGUCCGUCUGACCUGCUUCGCCCCGGCUGUGCUUCCAGCUGCUGGCGGAUUCAUCGUUUGUGGAGGAAGAAUAGAGAGAGGAUGGGGGGUUUUUGUUGUUGUUGUUUUUUUUUUUUAAUCUAUUUUCUGCUUUUAUUUGCUGCUUUGCAAAGCCCCAAUUCCUCCCCGCGAAGAAUUUGACGAUGGACGCAGCUUUCGGCAGGAGCCUCCCCAAGGAUGUUGCUUCCCACCUGUGCAUCGCGGCCCAGAACUAGGGGGUCACGGACCACCCCGCUCUCAGCAUCUCUCAGCAUCCUUGUGACUGAUCCAUGUCCCCCAUCUCCCUCCUGGACAUCCUCUCCUACCCCAUCCCACCUUCCUUGGGGUCUCCUGGAGGAGCUGGGGGGGAUCCCCAGAUGCUGCCCAGCUUUGGUACCCCACUGAUGGAGGGUCAGGGUUUCCUCGAGGGAGGGACGUGGCCAGGAAGUGAUGGAGAGAGAGAAGUGGUUUUAUUCCCACCUCCCUACUCUCUCCCUCCCUCAUUCUGCAACCGCUAUUGAUGCCUUUCUUUAGAUCUGAUUUACCAGGGAUUUUCCCAUUCCAGCAGGAAAACUGCUGGGAGGGGAUUUCUCUGCAAAGCUUUCGGGCUUGCAGGCAUUUUAUUUUCCGGGGUGGUGCCAGGCUGGUUCCUGCAGGGUGGCUCUUGGCUCGGCAGGGCUUAUCAGGGGACUCCCCAUGGCUGGGGGUCCCCUCUGCCUCCCCCAAAUCUCCCGUUGCGGCCCCAGGAUGGAGCCGGUGCCCAUUGUCAUGCUGCUGGCAGGUGCCCUUCGCUGCCGAGCCCGCUGAUGUAUCGCUUCCCCGCCGUGACUCAC